Molecule: ribosomal RNA, 443 nt
Filed under: uncultured bacterium
Lineage: Bacteria
Description: partial 16S ribosomal RNA
Rfam family: Bacterial small subunit ribosomal RNA
Source: RNAcentral
CCUACGGGAGGCAGCAGUGGGGAAUAUUGGGCAAUGGGCGCAAGCCUGACCCAGCAACGCCGCGUGAAGGAAGAAGGCUUUCGGGUUGUAAACUUCUUUUCUCAGGGACGAAGAAAGUGACGGUACCUGAGGAAUAAGCCACGGCUAACUACGUGCCAGCAGCCGCGGUAAUACGGAGGUGGCAAGCGUUACCCGGAUUUAUUGGGUGUAAAGGGCGUGUAGGCGGGAGCGCAAGUCAGAUGUGAAAACCCAGGGCUCAACCCUGGACCUGCAUUUGAAACUGGGUGUCUUGAGUGCUGGAGAGGCAAGCGGAAUUCCGGGUGUAGCGGUGAAAUGCGUAGAUAUACGGAGGAACACCGGUGGCGAAGGCGGAUUGCUGGACAGUGACUGACGCUGAGGCGCGAAAGCGUGGGGAGCAAACAGGAUUAGAUACCCGAGUAGUC